Microcebus murinus (gray mouse lemur) is the source of this 468-nucleotide non-coding RNA. The record is from RefSeq and is a predicted model, not a curated record. Lineage: Eukaryota; Metazoa; Chordata; Mammalia; Primates; Cheirogaleidae.
UGAUCCUCCCACCACAGCCUCCCAAAGUGCUGAGAUUACAGCCUGGUGCAUCUCAGAAUGCUGAUUUGGAUAAUUCAACAGAACAUGACCUUCAGAGCAAUGAUAAACUGCUGAACAGAUGUUAAGUAGCUGUUUGUGAUGACACCCUUGGUUCCCCUUGUAAGAUAUUAUUCAAGUGUGCAGAUCCUGUUGACUUUGAAUGUAGCUCAAAGUUCAGAUGAGCCUGAGAGUAUAUGGUGCCGGACAAAACACAAAUUCUUAAUUAUGUGGUUAGAGCUGAAGAAAUAAAUUCAAUCUGAUCAUGAAUUCAGCCCAUAAGUUUGAGAUUUCAACUCCAUGUGAAUAUUUUCUUGGUUUUUGAAAGUUUCAAUUAGACUUACUAAAAACAAUUUAACUGUAAUACCCUUCAAAAGAUCUAAACUCUUGGCUAAUUGCACAAGAAAAGAGUGGAACAGAAAUCAACACAAC